AUCCAGCUGAACAGUAGUCCCAAAUAGAACGAAACGCGCGUUCUGAAU
RNAcentral lists this non-coding RNA (48 nucleotides) under Schistosoma mattheei. The record is from RNAcentral. Lineage: Eukaryota; Metazoa; Platyhelminthes; Trematoda; Strigeidida; Schistosomatidae.